This is a long non-coding RNA of Protopterus annectens (West African lungfish), 944 nucleotides long. RefSeq lists it as uncharacterized. NCBI's taxonomy places the organism in Eukaryota, Metazoa, Chordata, Ceratodontiformes, Protopteridae. The record is from RefSeq and is a predicted model, not a curated record. The transcript is spliced from 3 exons.
UGCAUUCAUUUUGUUUUUUUCAGGCUCUGAUUGGUUGGAUUGAUAUUAUGUAGUUGCUAAGUUUUAAAGUCAGAUUGUGAUUUCAGUAGUUGAGACCCUGGAACUUGGGCACUUAAAGGGAAAGCACAUCAAAUGGAUUUGGGACUAAUUCAUACACACCUGCAUAUGAAGGUGAAGAAGAGGAAGAGGAAGAAGCAGAGGAACUGGAUUCAUACACCUGGCCAUUGCUAACCCUGGAUAUCUGUAAAAGAAAGUAAUAUGAAAAUUAAAACUAUAUCAUUAAAGAAGCUUUAUUCUUCUAAAUACUGCAAAUAAACAGAAAUGCAAGAGUAUAAUGUAGAAAAGGCUUUGUCCACAAAAACACAAGAAACACAGAUAAGUACAGUAAAAAUUGAAAUGUGCCCUAAAAUGAUCAGAUAUUUUGUUGCAGAGUCUUCAGACUUCCUGGUUUGGUACUACUGGAUGCAGGACAUAUUCUGGAUACCAUUUGUUACAGAAGAACACUGAUUCAGCUACAUUCUACUUGCCUCAUCAGUAGAUAAUAUCUGUUAUCUAUAUUAUAAUAGGCUGCUGAGCUCAAUGAACAGACAGAGGAAGUCUUGAUUACACUCCAGAUUCCAUUAGUGGCCCUAUAUGGGCACUCCAGAUGUGAUGGGACAGAGAAGCAUUAACCCAAAUGAGUGCCUACAUUAUAUCUGAACUUCACAAUGGGGUUCCCGUUAUAAUGGCAAAGACUCUAAUUGCAGUCUUUUGAAUGGGUGGUCAGAUUUCAGAAGUGAGAGCGUACAUAUUCAGUCCAAAGUUGAGAUGUCUGAGUAUUUUCCUAUUUUGAGGUACAGCAACCUUUGUUAGUAUGUAUAGUUAGAAAUGUUAUAGCGGUGCAGCUUUCAGCACUGGCAUACAAGAUUGCUUCACUACUUGCAAUAAAUGCUUUACUAUUGUAA